Molecule: long non-coding RNA, 220 nt
Filed under: Capsicum annuum
Lineage: Eukaryota; Viridiplantae; Streptophyta; Magnoliopsida; Solanales; Solanaceae
Description: long non-coding RNA (CANN_LNC012893)
Source: RNAcentral
GUGGAGGCUACCAACUAGGGAUGACUACCAUGAAGACCGAUUUGUCAUCUAUUAGUCAGCUGGUAAACUCGUACUCUACUUUGAUCAAAUAGUUGGAAUAGUAAAUGAGUCAACCCUCCAUAGCACUGAACCAGAGAAGAGUGGAACGUUACCUAGUGAUAUGGUUUAGAAUUUGUGAAAUGAUGGGUCAUGUAUGACGAUUACCACUAGAAGUGGAAAG